GAACAGAAGGGUUUUACGUGAAAAAGCAGAGAAGCAUCGUGAAAGAGGAAAAGGGCAAGAGAAGGAGCUGUAGAGCAAAGGUUGGAGAACGGAAAAGCUUGAAGCUCGAAGAGUUGCCGGAUUGUUAAGGUAAGGGGGGUUUAUCGUCGUUUAAUGGGUAUUAUCGAUUAACAUGUAAUGGGUAGUGAUAAGCCGUCGAUUGACCCUAAUUGGGAUUUAGAAUGCUGAGAAAUUAUGUUGAAUAAGUUGUAUUAAAGCUGAAAUUGAAUUUGUGUUUGAGUGUAUUGUGAAUUUCUGAGCGUAUAGCUUUUUACGGAAGUUGAAUCGGAGGUCCGGAAGUCCUCCAACGGCGGAAAAUGCGGAAACUCUGCAUUCUGCCUUGUGUUAGCGCAGGAACUGCUGUUUCG
RNAcentral lists this long non-coding RNA (407 nucleotides) under Lathyrus oleraceus (garden pea). RNAcentral's name for it is "Pisum sativum (pea) long non-coding RNA (PSAT_LNC006835)". Lineage: Eukaryota; Viridiplantae; Streptophyta; Magnoliopsida; Fabales; Fabaceae. The record is from RNAcentral.